This 2627-nucleotide long non-coding RNA is filed under the name Macaca fascicularis (crab-eating macaque). Its description in RNAcentral is "lncRNA (ENSMFAG00000061417.1)". Lineage: Eukaryota; Metazoa; Chordata; Mammalia; Primates; Cercopithecidae. The record is from RNAcentral.
UUUUUUUUUUUUUUUUUUUUUUUGAGACGGAGUCUCACUCUGUCGCCCAGGCUGGAGUGCAGUGGCCGGAUCUCAGCUCACUGCAAGCUCCGCUUCCCAGGUUCACACCAUUCUCCUGCCUCAGCCUCCCGAGUAGCUGAGACUACAGGUGCCCGCCACCUCGUCCGGCUAGCUUUUUGUAUUUUUUAGUAGAGACGGGGUUUCACCAUGUUAGCCAGGAUGGUCUCGAUCGCCUGACCUCGUGAUCUGCCCGUCUCGGCCUCCCAAAGUGCUGGGAUUACAGGCUUGAGCCACCGCGCCCGGCCUGGCCAGGCACGUUUUAAAGCACUAUGCUAGAGAGACCCAGGUUCAAACCCAGACAAAAUCACCUCGCCAAGCUUUGGCGUGAUUAUAUGCCAAUCCCAUUGAUUUUCUGAGUGGGAGAAAACACUGAAGUGCUGAAGCACCUGGCUGCUAGUCCUCAAUAAACAGCAGUUAUUAUUAUCUCUGCUUCAGAGGAACUAGGGGAGGCUGGGUAUCACGAAAUGCAUAUUUCUUCAUUAAGAGAAGAAAGCUGCAAUUUAAAUUAUUGGCAAAAUCAUCUCCUUAACAAUAAAGUAUUUUCCCUGUUGCUCUUUUUCUGAUUUUCUUUGGCUGGCAGGAGAGCUAACAUUUGCAGGCUCUUCCUCGAGGCCAGGGUCUUGUAUGGUUUGUUACUGGAAGAUACUAUUUGAGGUUGAUGAAUAGUUUCUUACAAUGACAGCACUUUGACCCUCUCUCCAGAACCUGCCCCCACAUCGUUGACUUGGCAUUUCUAAGCACUGGAGUGGGAGAGCACAGCACAGAUUGCAGGAGGGCACAGCACAGAGGCCAGGGUGCCAGACCCCAGCGACAGGGAAUGUUCUAGACUGAAGCACUUUCCCCGGCGUGUUAAUCUGGCCAACAAGCCUCUUCAAAGGUGUGGCUCUGUCCAGAGUUUAAUCCAUCAGGACGUCAACCAAAGGUGACAGGAUACCUGGCACACUGACACUGGGAGGAGUGUGGGUGAAGACAUUUUUAUGGUGAAACUCUUACCCGAAGAAAUCCUGAGAAACUUGCAGAUCACCUCUCUCCUGCUUAGGGUAAAAAAGAAAAAAGAAAAGAAAGGAAAAAUGGGGUGAUGGGACCAAAUGUCAAUUUUGCUCAUCCUGCCACCUCCAAUCUGUGUCUAUGACUCUAAAGAGCAUUUAUAUACUUUGUUCUUCAAAAACAAAAGAAACAAAAAAGAGAAGUAUGCAGAAAUCUUCUAUGUAGAUAUAACUAGCUUUAAGGGAAAAAGUACCUAAAUCCUGAUUUACAGAAGAAAUGAGUGAGUAGGGAUAGAAUAACUUGUUUCACAACACAGUUCUUUGCUUUAUCAGAGGAUUUGCUUUUUCUCAGCACAUACCACUUGUGAAUUUAAAAUAGGACUCAAAGGACAUCAACCUGAUGAUACAAGACUUUUCAGGAUCUAUUCUUACCCAGGACAGGGUAUAUGCUAGAGAACUCAGGGGGAACAGAUCAUUAUCCAGUGUGUACAGGGCUACUUAGUACACAAAUGUCCUGACCCACUCUUUGAAUUCUGCAUUGCCACAGCUUUGUGUUGACUGUGUUCCAAGAAACAGUGAUCCAAAUACUCUCAUUAUGACCCAGCCUGUUACAGAAGGGCUCCUGGAAGAAACUGAGAAUUGAAGUACAUUCUAGAACUUUCCUAAUACUUCGACCUCUCUGCAUACUUUUGAAAUACUUUUCUUCAAUGAGACCCAGGGUGAUCUCACAGCAUUUGGAAGAUGUUACUACAAUGAAACACAGCUGCAACACCAAACAAACAUGAGUGCAUGGCAUCGGGAGACGUGGAGCCUCCUGGGAGAGGAUCCACUUACAGACUAACAAUCAAAACAUCCCAUCAUUAAUCCUUAGCAACCUGCAAGGUAAAACUGCCAGAUGAAGACACUGGGUCAGGUGUCAAUGGACCAGGAGUCAGGUCCUGAUCAUGCUACAGUCCAACCCGUGGCAUGAGUCAAGUCACUUCCUGGAGCUUUGGUUUCCUCUUGUGCAAGGUUGAGAGAGCACUUUGUAAGUUAGAUGGCAUGACACAAGUGUAAGGUAGCUGUCCUGUUAUCAUACGCACAGAGGCCCUAGCUAUGUGAGAAGAUGGCAAACGUUUUGCUGUUUUGAAAUUCUUUUGCCCCAACAUGUCAUUUUCAAGGUGUGUUGCAACCAUAAAGAGAAGCUGCCUGGGAGCCCUGAGGAUGUGCCUGGUAGUCUCAGGUGUCUUGAGAGAGGCACCUGCCCUGGGGGUUGGGAGGGACAUGGUACUGCCACCACCAGGAUCUGCUAAUAGGGAAUCGGAGACUAUUGAAGGACACAUACAAACUUUUUUCUCACCUGUAAUGUAGAAUAAAUCACAGUCUUCAAGCACUUGUUUAUAGAGUAUUAUAAUCAGUCUUUACAAACACUCUGAGAAAUGGUGCAGGCAGGUCAUUUUUGCCCAGGUGAAGAAACAGGUGAACUGCUUCACCUUGCUGAGACUGGUAAAGGCCAUGAUCUUGAAAGAAAUCUUGGGCUCCUGAGAUCCCCUCUUACAGGUGUGCGCAACCCAUAAAAGAGUACUAGAAGGUCUGUCCACA